Molecule: ribosomal RNA, 497 nt
Filed under: Burkholderia cepacia
Lineage: Bacteria; Pseudomonadati; Pseudomonadota; Betaproteobacteria; Burkholderiales; Burkholderiaceae
Description: bacterial SSU rRNA
Rfam family: Bacterial small subunit ribosomal RNA
Source: RNAcentral
GGUGGGGUAAAGGCCUACCAAGGGCGACGAUCAGUAGCUGGUCUGAGAGGACGACCAGCCACACUGGGACUGAGACACGGCCCAGACUCCUACGGGAGGCAGCAGUGGGGAAUUUUGGACAAUGGGCGAAAGCCUGAUCCAGCAAUGCCGCGUGUGUGAAGAAGGCCUUCGGGUUGUAAAGCACUUUUGUCCGGAAAGAAAUCCUUGGUCCUAAUAUGGCCGGGGGAUGACGGUACCGGAAGAAUAAGCACCGGCUAACUACGUGCCAGCAGCCGCGGUAAUACGUAGGGUGCAAGCGUUAAUCGGAAUUACUGGGCGUAAAGCGUGCGCAGGCGGUUUGCUAAGACCGAUGUGAAAUCCCCGGGCUCAACCUGGGAACUGCAUUGGUGACUGGCAGGCUAGAGUAUGGCAGAGGGGGGUAGAAUUCCACGUGUAGCAGUGAAAUGCGUAGAGAUGUGGAGGAAUACCGAUGGCGAAGGCAGCCCCCUGGGCCAAUG